UCUUUCGCAAACGACGCCAUUUUAUUUCUCCCCCGAUUCCCUUUUCUUUUGCAAACGGUACCGUUUUAUUUCUCUCCCCCGAUUCCCUUUUCUUUCCCGAUACCCUUUUCUUUCUCAGCCUUUCUCAGCCAAUUCUUUGCUUGACUAAAAUUAAAAACCUGUUCUAUUUUAUACCCGAAAAUCCUCUCUACCUGUUCUUCUAUUUUAUUUCUCAGUCUGUUCUUUGAUUUCUCGAAACCUAAACACCCACUGUGCCCCCUUUCCUCAGAGGCUGUAACCGAGCAACCGUUUACCUAGUUUCCCGACGCCUAGCCACUUUACCCAGCAGCGAACUUAGUCUUAGCAAUUGCGAAGAUGGUUGCACACAAAUUCACUGUUGAUUUGAAUAAACCUCUUGUCUUCCAGGGCAGUUACUAAGCUGCAAAUAUUCUGUUUCUUUCUCUUUUUUGGUCAGACUGAAUUAAGCAGGCCAAAGUGUGUAAAGGGUUUUGGUUUGGGGAAACAUUUAAGUUUGGGGUUGGAGAUACGUAGUUAUCAGCAUUAGUUGGCAGAUAACAUCGUCCAAGUGCAGGUUGCAGCUCUUUGCCAAGGUGCGCUAUCCUGUUUAAUAUCUGGUACAGACUAGAAUUAAUGGUUGUUUUUAUUCCUGUUUUCUUUAGUCUUUGACCACUAUCACAUAAAGAGCUUGAUAUUGAAAAACAGAAGCAUAAUGCUUGGUAUAUGUUUUCCAGAUAUUGUAGAAUUAACACGAAAACACAAAUCGAAUAUUUUUAUAAAACAAAAAACAAAGGGGUCACAAUCCUUCUUAUCCACUCUCCAACAUUCGCUUUUUGCAGUAGUAAAUAUAUUAAAAAAAUUAUGUCCAAAAUGUAAAUAAAAUAAUGAUAGAAGCAAGCAAUCUCAUCUGCAGAAGGUGAUGAUUUUGUUUUGCUUUUAUUCGGUAGAAACAAUGGUUACAUUUGAUUUUAGUGGAAUUUUUGUUUAUUCCUUUUGGGUUAGGAUAAAAUCAAAGUGGUGAGGAGCACCGACAUUCCCUUUUUUACAUGUAUUCAUUUUCCUUAAGCUGCCAAAAUAACAAACUAAGGACUUCCAAUUCUGUGAAUUUUCUGAGUAACUUUUUUAUUAUUGUUGGGUGGGAAGAAUGCUCUAAGUGUAUGACUACUCAAUUUAUUUAAAUUAAACCAAUUUUACUAUUCCUCUUCCCCUGUCUCCAUCUAUAUAAAAUUCUGUCUUUUAUUUUAUUUUCCGGGAAAAACUAAAAUGAGAAAAAACUCUAUUGUGGGUUUUUCCAAUAGACCAAUAAAAUAAAUAGAGUGAAAAUUAUAUUAAAAUAAAAGUGAAAUGAUUUAUGCAUGCAAAUAAAAUAUCUUGAUAUUUGUGAAAAAUGUUCCCCCAAGUCAUGAUCAAAAUGCUGAAAAUUGCAGUCCAAAAAUAUAUUUGUUGAACCCCACUAAAAUCCUUCUGCUGCACUGAUCAUAUGUGGUGGUUGUGGGACACUGGAAUUCAGCCAGUGUUUCAACUCUCACUGAUGCAACCAUCUUUGAAUGUAUAAAAUUAUUCAUAAAUAGAUUCCAUGAUUUUGAUCUAAUUGAAUAAAUAAAAAUUAAUGUUUUAACUUUUAUCACAUUUAAUAUAAAAACACAAACAUAAAUGAUCAUAUCUAAGGAUGAUACCCCCUUUCCUAGAGAUUUCACUUUGUUUUAUUUAUUUAUUUAAAGAAAUUGGAAUCCAAUGAAGCGUGUUUAUUGCCAAUGAUGUUUUAACACUUCAUUAUCUUUUUACUUUUAACUUGAUGGUAUUAAUUGAGGUGAUGGGAAAAUCGUUCAUACAUACCAACUAUGGUGGGGGCAGCUUAUGCUUACAAUUUUGUUGCCACUUUAUUGGCUGACACUAUUCAGGACUUGUUUGUAACUUACAACAAUAUUUGCAUUUUAUGGCAAAAACAAGCAAGAAUGAAGAAAAAAAAUUUCAGUAACGAAAAAUAACGGGAAUAACAGACCGUUAUUGCCGCAAUUGUCUGUUACCCGUUAAAUUGCGGCUGCGAUCCACCGCUAACGAUGUGACUCCUCUUCCCAUUGCUAUUUUCAGUAGUAGCAGUUUCGAACGGUGCCGCUACCGCUAUAUAGAGGCUGCUAUUUUGGUAUCGGACUGCUAUUUAAAUCCCUGGCCUCAAGUAUGGGCCCGAGCAACACGAACCAAAUCAUAGAAUGAAGACUUCUAUUUACUUUCAGUAGGAAAAUAUAUAUCUUUCUAUAACCGAACACUGUACGUUUUUCCUAAAAAAUAGUUUUUAUUCUUAGAAAUAAAUUUCCACUACUUUUUAUUAGAAUAACGGCGUAUGAGAAGGUGUCUAAAUUGUUUAACUGAUAGUUCUUAUUUAUACAACAGUUCUAUUCGGAUAGGGCUUGAUUAAAUACUAAUAUUGUAAAAGAUGAUACAACUUCUACUCUAAGUAAAAAAAGUAAGGGUGGCAGCGCCUUUUUGUAAUACCCUAGGGUUGUGAAACCCACGUCCUACUAGAUCACUAGAUUAAAAUGUGUGAUGUCACAUUACGUUGUUGAAGAAACUUAGACUAAAUCAAUAUCAUUUUCCUGGGUGACAUGG
Long non-coding RNA from Gossypium raimondii (Peruvian cotton), 2604 nucleotides. RefSeq lists it as uncharacterized. The record is from RefSeq and is a predicted model, not a curated record. The transcript is spliced from 6 exons. NCBI's taxonomy places the organism in Eukaryota, Viridiplantae, Streptophyta, Magnoliopsida, Malvales, Malvaceae.